UUUAAGUUUUACUUAGCAGAAAGUGUUGUUGUAAGGACAUGGCUUGGCGACUUGGUGCUCUGCCGAGUGCAGGCAUUUUUGGGAGCACAACUAGAUACAUCAGAAGCACGAAAUGGUCCAUAGGAAGGACACCUUGAUCCAUCAGAAGCAGGAAACGCAAAGAAUAUUCUCCUGAGCACCUGUUUGGGUGACUGUGUGUUCUGCUGACUGCAGGAGUCUUCAGGAGGACAUCUAGACACAUCA
Peromyscus eremicus (cactus mouse) is the source of this 243-nucleotide long non-coding RNA. RefSeq lists it as uncharacterized. The record is from RefSeq and is a predicted model, not a curated record. The transcript is spliced from 3 exons. Lineage: Eukaryota; Metazoa; Chordata; Mammalia; Rodentia; Cricetidae.